GCCAGCAUGGCAUAGUGGUUUAAGUGUUGGAUUACAACACUAGAGAUCAGGGUUCAAUUCCCAGCUCAGCCA
This is a non-coding RNA of Phrynosoma platyrhinos (Desert horned lizard), 72 nucleotides long. Lineage: Eukaryota; Metazoa; Chordata; Lepidosauria; Squamata; Phrynosomatidae. The record is from the annotation of a GenBank genome assembly.